RNAcentral lists this ribosomal RNA (494 nucleotides) under uncultured bacterium. RNAcentral's name for it is "partial 16S ribosomal RNA". It matches the Rfam family "Bacterial small subunit ribosomal RNA", at positions 28 to 507 of the family's 1533-position model. The record is from RNAcentral.
GACGAACGCUGGCGGCGUGCUUAACACAUGCGAGUCGAACGGAAAGGCCUGCUUUCCCUUGUGGAUUGCGGGUACUCGAGUGGCGAACGGGUGAGUAACACGUGAGUGAUCUGCCCCCAACUUGGGUAUAAGCCUGGGAAACUGGGUCUAAUUCCCGAUAGGACUGCAGGGUGGUGCCUGUGGUGGAAAACGAUUUUCUAGUGGUUGGGGAUGAGCUCGCGGCCUAUCAGCUUGUUGGUGGGGUAAUGGCCUACCAAGGCGGCGACGGGUAGCCGGCCUGGGAGGGUGGACGGCCCAAUUGGGACUGAGAUACGGCCCAGACUCCUACGGGAGGCAGCAGUGGGGAAUAUUGCACAAUGGGCGGAAGCCUGAUGCAGCGACGCCGCGUGGGGGAUGACGGCCUUCGGGUUGUAAACUCCUUUCGACCGCGAGGAAGCCACCUGGUUGGAAGGGUGGUGACGGUAGUGGUAGAAGAAGCACCGGCUAACUACGUG